This 215-nucleotide long non-coding RNA is filed under the name Jatropha curcas. Its description in RNAcentral is "long non-coding RNA (JCUR_LNC002094)". The record is from RNAcentral. Lineage: Eukaryota; Viridiplantae; Streptophyta; Magnoliopsida; Malpighiales; Euphorbiaceae.
CUUGAUGUAGAAGAUAAUGUUAAUAUAAAUGUAGUAAUGCAUGAAGUUAAACAAAAUAUUAUGCAAUUAUAUAAUGAAUUUGUUCAAGUUUCUAGUUCAUCUACUUCUACUUCUACUUCUUCUCAAUCUAAUAUUCCACAAUUUUCAACACAAAGGGUAAGUGGUGUUGGUGUUGCUCAACAAGUUUUAUUACAAAGACAAAAAAGAACAAGGGA